UAUAAAUAAAAGUCAGGAAAACAAUAACUCUUGUCUUUCAAAUAUAAAGCAUUCAUCAAUUGAUGAAAUCAAUGAUUAUGGGAUACAUAAGCAAAACUAUAUAACUAUUAAAUUAUCAAAAAACCAUUUAUGUCUCUUAAAAUUUAUCCUUUGGCUACAAAUUAUCAUAACUUUGGUGUCGUUUGUAUUAUGUAUAGUAUCACCUUUUAGGGCCAAUGAUAGGUUGGCAAUGUCCCGGUCGUCUUAUUGGUACUAUUUCUUGUACUCUAUUGUCAUCUGUUUGUCUAUAUGUCAGGCUUUUGGUGCCAUUUCUAAGAAACACAAUAACAACGACGCCUUCACUUGUUUUGUAAUUUUAUUAAUAAUUUUAGCCAUUAUUGAAAUUAUUAUAAUAAGCAAAUAUUUUUUUGUUGCCUUUCCUCCCACUGAUAUUUAUGAAAACUGGAGUAUAGAGCCUAUAGUCUUAUAUUUGAUAAGUUUGUUGCGUUUGAUUUUAUACGUAACCAUCAUUUGUGUCAUUAUUUCAUAUAUGGCUUCAUAUUAUGACAAAUGGGAUGUCC
Oppia nitens is the source of this 560-nucleotide long non-coding RNA. RefSeq lists it as uncharacterized. NCBI's taxonomy places the organism in Eukaryota, Metazoa, Arthropoda, Arachnida, Sarcoptiformes, Oppiidae. The transcript has 3 exons. The record is from RefSeq and is a predicted model, not a curated record.